CAUUAAAUAUAAUGAACUAGGAGUCCCAAUAAAAUACAAAGCUAGACUGGUUGCAAGAGGAUUUACUCAAAAGUACCAAGUAGACUAUGAAGAAACAUUUGCUCCCGUUGCUAGAAUUGCCAGUUUUAGGUUCGUAAAAUCAUUGGCAGUCCAGUUUAAUUUGAAAGUCCAUCAGAUGGAUGUUAAAACAGCUUUCCUCAAUGGUACAUUAAGUGAGGAGAUAUAUAUGCGGCCUCCUCAGGGCGUAUCAUGCGGUGCUGGGCAUGUAUGCAAACUGAACAAAGCCAUUUAUGGGCUCAAACAAGCAGCUAGAUGCUGGUUUCAAGUAUUUGAGCAAGCAUUGAAAGAAUUCGAUUUUGUAAACUCUCCCGUGGAUCGUUGCAUAUAUAUUCUUGAUAGAGGUGACAUAAAGAAAAACAUAUAUGUAUUAUUAUAUGUUGAUGAUGUAGUAAUAGCGACAAGGGAUAUGGAUAGAAUGAAUAAUUUCAAAAAGUAUUUAAGCGAAAGAUUUAGAAUGACUGACUUAAAUGAGAUAAAACAUUUUAUCGGUAUCAGAGUAGAAAUGUUUGAAGAAAAAAUAUAUUUGAGUCAAGCUGCAUAUGUGAAAAGAAUAGCAAUUUAGUCAGUACUCCAUUACUAAAUAAACUAAAUUAUGAGUUACUUAACUCAGAUGAAGACUGCAAUGCUCCAUGUCGUAACCUUAUUGGCUGUUUAAUGUACAUAAUGCUGUGUACACGACCAGAUUUAGCUGCCGCUGUAAAUAUCUUGAGUAGAUAUAGUAGCAAGAACAAUGCUGAGUUAUGGCAAUGUUUAAAAAGGGGUUAUUAGAUAUUUAAAGGAACUAUUGAUAUGAAGCUUAUAUUUAAAAAGAAUACAUCAUUUGAAAAUACAUUAGUUGGCUAUGUAGACUCCGAUUGGGGUAGUAAUGAGAUUGAUAGAAAAAGUACAGCGGGUUAUUUGUUUAAAAUGUUCGAUUCCAAUUUAAUUUGUUGGAAUACAAAAAUACAGAAUUCAGUGGCAGCUUCAUCAACUAAAGCUGAAUAUAUGGCCCUAUUUGAAGCUGUAAGAGAAGCUUUAUAGCUAAAGUCUCUUCUAAAUAGUAUUAAUCUUAAACUCGACAGACCCAUUAACAUUUAUGAAGACAACCAAGGCUGUAUUAGCAUUGCAAAUAAUCCCUCAUGUCAUAAAAGAGCAAAGCAUAUUGAUAUAAAAUAUCAUUUUUCAAGAGAAGAGAUAGAAACUAAUGAGAUUUCUCUUGAGUAUAUUAAUACAGACAACCAACUUGCUCACAUCUUCACGAAGCCACUACCUGCUGGAAGAUUUGCGGAACUGCGGAACAAUUUAGGACUACUACAAGAAGAAUGAUUCCAAUUUAAGGAAAACAUGAACAUGAUGCUUUAUUAACAAAUUUAUUACAUUAAUUCAUUUUUAAUUUUUUUUUUAUUUUUUGAUUUGAACCAAAAGAACCAAUGAAUUGUUAAAGUAAUUUAAUUUUAUGUUAAUCUAAUUUUAAAGUGAUCUGAUCGGGUUUUUCUGGGUUUAGAGCAAAUGCUAGAUCACAUAACACUUCCCAGAAUGCACACCAACCACAUUAGAAUAACAAUAGAAUGUUACCUUUUUGAUUUAAUGAUGAAAAAAUUUUUUUUUAUUUUUAUGAUUUUGAUGAUUAAUGUUAUUUUUGAGGGGGGCGUGUUGGAAUACGCCUAUUCCCACAUUCAAAUAAUAACAUUAAAUACUAUUAAAUAAUACUAUCGAUAUAUUAAGUAUUAUUAUGUAAAGUUAGUCUGGUCACACCUGAAGUGUCCACUUCCUCUUUCCUUUCUGAUCACGAAUCGAAUGUACGUGGUACCGGUGUUGCAGUGAAAAAGUAAUCAAGAAAUACAUAAAUAAUCUUUAAAGAAAAAUAUAACUUGGUACUGUCAUUCGUUUACUAAUUGUCAUAGCUAGUUAUCCAAUAACUUGCAAACGAACAUUUUUGUUUUGCUUUUCACGAUUCAUUUUAAGCUUCAAUAGUCUAACCGUAUAGAAUUCACAAAAAUUGAUAGUUGCCAUAAGCAUCACACGUACAAGCACGCAUACAUACGCAAAAGACACUUUGUUCGUUCACUCGCGACAAGA
Drosophila miranda is the source of this 2118-nucleotide long non-coding RNA. RefSeq lists it as uncharacterized. The record is from RefSeq and is a predicted model, not a curated record. The transcript is spliced from 2 exons. Lineage: Eukaryota; Metazoa; Arthropoda; Insecta; Diptera; Drosophilidae.